AGAGUUUGAUCAUGGCUCAGAACGAACGCUGGCGGCGCGCCUAAUACAUGCAAGUCGAGCGAGAAGACGUAGCAAUACGUUGGUACAGCGGCGAACGGGUGAGGAAUACAUGGGUAACCUACCCUCGAGUGGGGAAUAACUAGCCGAAAGGUUAGCUAAUACCGCAUACGAUUCCCGGAUUGCGGUUCGGGAAAGAAAGCCAUUCCGUGGGGAUGGCGCUCCUGGAUGGGCUCAUGUCCUAUCAGCUUGUUGGUGAGGUAACGGCUCACCAAGGCUUCGACGGGUAGCUGGUCUGAGAGGACGAUCAGCCACACUGGCACUGCGACACGGGCCAGACUCCUACGGGAGGCAGCAGUAAGGAAUAUUGCGCAAUGGGCGACAGCCUGACGCAGCGACGCCGCGUGGGGGAUGAAGGUCUUCGGAUUGUAAACCCCUUUCGGGAGGGAAGAGGGAAUGGGGCAACCCAUUCGGACGGUACCUCCAGAAGCAGCCACGGCUAACUUCGUGCCAGCAGCCGCGGUAAUACGAAGGUGGCAAGCGUUGUUCGGAUUCACUGGGCGUACAGGGAGCGUAGGCGGUUGGGUAAGCCCUCCGUGAAAUCUCCGGGCCUAACCCGGAAAGUGCAGAGGGGACUGCUUGGCUUGAGGACGGGAGAGGAGCGCGGAAUUCCCGGUGUAGCGGUGAAAUGCGUAGAGAUCGGGAGGAAGGCCGGUGGCGAAGGCGGCGCUCUGGAACGUUUCUGACGCUGAGGCUCGAAAGCGUGGGGAGCAAACAGGAUUAGAUACCCCUGUAGUCC
This 796-nucleotide ribosomal RNA is filed under the name uncultured Nitrospira sp. Its description in RNAcentral is "bacterial SSU rRNA". It matches the Rfam family "Bacterial small subunit ribosomal RNA", at positions 8 to 796 of the family's 1533-position model. The record is from RNAcentral. Lineage: Bacteria; Pseudomonadati; Nitrospirota; Nitrospiria; Nitrospirales; Nitrospiraceae.